RNAcentral lists this long non-coding RNA (5379 nucleotides) under Elaeis guineensis (African oil palm). RNAcentral's name for it is "long non-coding RNA (EGUI_LNC022958)". Lineage: Eukaryota; Viridiplantae; Streptophyta; Magnoliopsida; Arecales; Arecaceae. The record is from RNAcentral.
UUCACAUGUUUCUUAAUCUUCUGGUGAAGACUCGAUGGAUGAAAUAUUUGAAACACUCUAAUUUUCAUCCUGCUUUGAUCAAAGGCUUCCCAAGUCAUCACUAGAUGAGAUCACAUAGGAUGUUCUCCUCUUACUAGGAGUGAUCGAUUCCUUGUUGACCUACUCACAACCUCCAUACACACUUUACCAUAUCCAAAGCAUCCCACACAUCUUAGAAAGUCAUGUUAGGGUAUUAACCAAAAUACAGAUUCAUAUGCAUAAGGUACCAUAGUGGUCUCAGAUCUAAGGAUCACUUGCACAACUUUUAUUAGAGAACCAUCUUUUGACAUGUAAGACUCCAUAAGAUGUUUAUUCUAUGGAUCAAUUCAGUAAACAUUCUCUAAUGAGCACCCACAUCCUUGUAUUGGUGUCUCCACAAGUGAUUGUGACAUCCUCUCCAUCGAGCAUACAUAGAAUCUGCCAGUCUUAUCGGAACAUUGAUUCCUGACUUAAUGAUUCAACGAUUGAGAAUAUUUUAGAUUAGAGUUUUAGGGUUUUAGAUCUCACUGGCAUGAUCUCAUCAUGGUCUUAAAAUUAUUGUCCUAAUCUAUGGGGUUCAUCACAAUCUUUAAAUAAGAUACAACAAGAUGAUGAAACAAAAUGUCUCAUUUUAUUCUUAAAUAAAUAGUCAAAUAUAUGAGCUGGAAGAUAUUAUAGAAAAGUCUCUAUCGCAUCAACUAUGCGAUUGGCUUGCAGGACACUAAUUUUUCAAUCUUCCACUUGCACUAAAGUCAAUUACUCUUAUAUUUAAUAUCGAUACAAUCAAGAUGGCAAUCAAAUUACUGCUGAGGUAAAUCGCGGUUAGUAGGGAGUGUCCCCAAAGAUUUAAGGGCAAGUUAGUAAACUCAUCAUGGACUGGAUCAUAUUCAAUAGGAUUUUAUUCCUCUCCGAUAUCUUGUUGAGCUGAGGCAUAUUAGGAGAAAUCUAUUGUGAGACUAUACCGUUGUCCUUGAGAUAAUUCAGAAAAUUUUCACUAAGGUAUUCUCCUCGAUCUGAUCGAAGAACUUUAAGAGAUUUUUCUGUUUGUUUCUCCACUUCAUUUCUGAAUUCUUUAAACUUUUCAAAAGCCUUAUAGAUUUAUCUCAUAAGAAACAUAUAUCUAUAUCAUGAAAGAUCAUCAGUAAAGAUGAAGUAGCUGUAAUCACCCUUGGCUUGUACAUCAAAUGGGCCACACAUGUCAGUGAGUACUGGCGCAAGUAUCUCAAUGGUCCUUUCCUCAUGUCCUAUAAAAGGUAACUUGGCUAUGUUUUUUUGAAGGCAAGAUUCACAUACUGAUACGACUCAGAAUUAAAUGAACUUAAGAGACCAUCUUUUUUCAGUUUAUUUAUCCUAUCCUCUCCAAUAUGAUCAAUCCUAAGGUGCCACAUACUUAUGGUUAACAUUAUCUCUAGGUUGUUUAUGACCUGUGGCACUACUGAUUAUCUGCUCGUUUACAUUCACAUGCGCAUCAACAUGCAAGUGAUAAAGACUUAAUUAAAAGACAACGUGCAAUCAAUUUAUUUCUUAAAUAAAUCGAACAGAUCUUUAUUAAAAUUAAAAAUAAAAUCAUCCUAUGUUAAUACAGAAAUGAAAAUCAAAUUUCGGCUAGCUACAGGGAUACAGUAAUAGUUUUUUAAAACUAAUCUAUCAGAUGAUAAUCGAAGAGGAUAAGUAUCGACGGUUUCUGUAGCAACUCUUGUUCCAUUGCCGACUCGUAAGAUCAUCUCAUCAUUCCUCAACUCUUUACUUUCCAUUAGAUCUUGCAUUGAAGUACAUAUAUGAGCACUCGAAUCAGAGUUUAAUAUCCAACUAGAAGUAGAGAAAAUUAUAAGGUUAGAUUCAACGAGUAUGUUAGACACACCUUCUGAAGGUUUGUCUCCCUUGGUCUUUAGGCUCUUAAGAUAUAGCGGACAAUUUCUCUUCCAAUGGCCGUUCUUCUAAUAGUGGAAACACUUUCCUUUGUUUGUAGCCUUCUUUGGAGUGUCCUUCUUUAGCUUUUUCUCUUUCUUCUGCUUCUUUGCAGGCUUAUUCCUUUUCUUCCAUGAAGACUUUCUUUUGGAAGAAUGUUCCUGCUCCACAGCAAGAACGGAGUCUCUUGAACUCUUCAAGAUUUCUUCUGUAGUAACUAAUAUGUUGACAAGUUCAGGUAAAGUGCAGUCUAACUUGUUCAUAUGGUAAUUUACAAUAAAUUGCCUAUAUGAACUAGUCAAAUAUUGGAAGAUCAAAUCCACUUGCAAUUUCUUCAGCAUUAUAAGGCCGAGCUACUCAAGCUCUUCGAGGUCCUUGAUCAUUAUCAGAUAAUGCUCGUGGACCGACUGUCUUUCGCGUAUCUUGGAGUUGAAGAGUCUCUUCGAAACUUCAAAACAUACGGAUCGGCUCUGCUCACCAUACAAUUUUUAUAGGUGAGUGAUCAUAGCCCGAUAGUUGGCAUAUGCUCGUGCUGGCUUUGCAACUUGUUUGACAUAGAAGCCAGCACAUAGCACUUUAUCCUGUUGUCAUCAUCCGUCCAUUUAUCUAAUGCAGAUCUCUGUUUUGCAGUAGGAUGGUUUGGUAAGGGAGGGGAGGGUCCUAGUCGAGAACAUAUCCUAACUUUUUGAAUAUUAAGACAAUCUUGAGAUUUCUAAGCUAGUCUUUGAAAAUUGAUUCCGGUCAAUUGGUUGGACUCUAGGAUACGGGUUAAAAGAUUUGAAGCUGACAUGGUUAAACUGUGAAGAGUAAAGAUUCUAGUUAGACAUUUGUACUCAGGUUUAAAAUUUGUUCUAGCAACUUUAAGAAACAAAUAGGCUCCCACUAUUUUCUCGGAUCUCUCACACCCCCUAUGGAGGUGCGAAAACUUCUAUGCGACUAGGAUUCCUAGUGGAUACUGCAGUCCUACUGAUAUGCGAGCUCCUCACCGUGCCCGAUUAUUAGGCCAUGCUAUAUCGGUAAGUGGACGACUAUUGUCUAAUGCUUCUCAAGCAUGUUGCAGCGCUUAGUCUCUAAGUCAUGAAACCUCACCAUGUCCGGUUAUUGGAGUUGAAGAAAAAAAAUUCGAUCAAGAUUAGAUCACCAGGGUGCAUCUGAACAUAUUCCUAUUCUAAAAUUUUCAUAACCUUUAUGAUUACCUAAUAUACAGCGGAUAUGGGAUCAAGAUACUCAGGGGUUUCUUGAAUCUGAUGGCUUGCGAGAUCUGAAAAUACAGAUCUUCUAUUUCGCACACACGCCAGGCACCGUAGGAAGGAUGAUCCUUGGGACAUCACUCCUUCAGAAAGGAAGCAGGGAAGGGAGGAGAUCUGAUCUCUACAUGAUGGAUGUUUAGGAUGGAAGUUCUCCAUGCCUAGAAGUGGAGCGCCAAGAAGAAAGGACGCCUCCUUUCUUGGUCGCACAAAAUCCACAGUUGUUCUCUCUUUUGUUUUGUCGCACAAACCAAGACAUCACUUUUGGUGAUUAGAGGGCCUCCCUUUGAAUAGAUGACGCCAUUGAUGAAGACCCAAUUAGUUAGAACUCUUAAUUCAAACCAGAUUUGAAUUAGUUUCUAACCUUAUCCAACUAGGAGAGCCAAAGGGAAUUGGAUGCCAACCUUUCACGUGAACUCCCUUCACAUGCGCACAUCUGAUAUGUGGCAAAAAAACUAGCGCUUUCGUUUUCCUUGGUCGGCCACUUAAUGAGAGAGAGUCCUAAGGUUUUGGGACUAUGGAUCUAAUCCUAUUUAGCUCAAAUUUGACUCGAUUCAAAUUCGAUUUGAAGUUGAUUCGGAUGAAACUCGAAGAGACUGUCAAUCCUAAUCUAAUUAGGAUUCAAAUCCAAAUCUAACUUGGAUUUUUAACUCAAUUAAAUCAAGCUCAAUUAAAUUAGAUCUAAUCUAAAAUAAUCAGCAUUUGAAUUCAAUCUCUCAUGCAUCCCUUGGAUCAUUGAUCUGAUCAUUAUCAUCAUCGGAAUUAAAUCUGCAUCUCAUGUCCAGUGCUAGCUAGACAUAGUCAAUUGUUUAAUUCUGUAUGACUUCUAACUUAAUUCUUAAUUAAGCUAAUCUAUUUAUUCAAUCAAGUCAUGUACUUCUAAAUUGAACACAGAUAUAAGAUCAAUUCUUUCCUACGUUGUUUUUGUGCGUGACUCUAUAGGUUCGAACACUGAGCCAGUACUCUAAGAACUAUUUUCUGUACUAAUUGAAGUUAUCAUCUAGCAAUGGUUCCCGACGUUCGGAUAGAUCGAAUAUUUGCAAAGCAACAUUCACAAAUCUUAGAAAUGGUUACCGCAUAAUUCAUCUCUUUGAUCCUAAAUGUUUAGGACGAUCUAGGAUUUAAUUGUCAACUCUGGAUGAGUCAUCCAUAUUGUAUUUCAAUCUUUCAAAUUCAUCACAUGGAUUAUCUUGAUCAAGAUUUUGUUAAAUUAAAAUACAGUGAUGCAUUAACUCCUGUAAUCCAAAAGGAUCUAUUUCAUCUUGAUCUACACUCAGACUUCUUAAAUACUUGACUAUAUCUAGUAGCUUUUCGUCACCGUAUUAGAAAUACAGAUAAUUCAGCAUCAAAGUACAGUGAGUUGCUUGUAAGUCACCGUGGUGAUCUCAGAUCGGAGGGAUACUUAUGCCCAUAUUCUUCGCAAGCUGCUCUUGAUAGUAGAGCGCUCCACAGGUGAGUCACUGUUUAGUGACAAUGUACUCUUACAUCUCACCUGUAUGCCAUACCAGUGUCUCUAUACUCUUUGGUUACGAGGACAACUAACCUAUAUGGCACAAUGAUCUAUACUCGAUAAGCGUCAUCGUCUUUUAAUGACAUAUCAUUUGGUUGCAAAUAUAUUUGAGAACUAUUCGAUAAAUCCUCCUUUAUGGAUUGUCUUUAUAGUUCUAAGGACUUCAUCACAAUAUAAGAGUUCAAAUAAGGAAGAUGCACAAUUUAUGAUGAAAAUGUCAAAUAACUUUUAUUAAUUCAUAAUUUAUAUACAAAUUACAAAGAGUAUAAUUGUUUAAAUGAUUGGCUUUAGGAUAUAUUUUCUAACGACUCCUAUUUGGACUAAAGUCAAUCGGUACAGUAGCUGAUACUCAUCUUCCGUUUGUGUUCAUCGAACUCUUUGAUUCUGAGGGUUUUAGUAAAUGGGUCGACCAAGUUCUUCUUUUCGUCGAUCUUCUGAAGCUCGACGUUAUCUCGAUCUACGAUCUCAGACAAGAUGGUAGCGACACAGAAUAUGUUUGGUUCUCUGGUAAGAUUUCAGUUCUUUAGCUUGAGCUAUAGCUCUAGUGUUAUCGCAAUACAGCAGAACAGGACCAUCAACAGAGGGGCCACUCCAAGCUUGUUGAUGAACUUUUGCAAUCAGACCGUUUUCUAGGCAGCAUCGGAUAUUGCAAUAUACUCUACCUUGCAUACUGAAUCGGCUACUGUGUACUGCUCG